UCCAAGGAAACCAACAAUACACAAAAGGCUUUAAUUUGCGAUAUUAAUAAAGAAAGAAGAAUAAAAAAAGACAGCAAAGGAUACAUAAUCGCCAAGUUGGAAGGAAUACAGAUAUUAUGCUUGAAACUCUGGUAAGGACUUAACUUCUAGCUUAGUCACAAAGGGGGGAGGGGGUUGAAAACAUGAACAAUUUGAAGCUGGUCUGGGACAAGAAACAACAUAAAGCCGGGCUGGAGGCUCAAGGAAAACAGAUUUCCAAGUCCAAAGCAAACAACCAACCACAAUCUUUUGUGGUUUAACACCUAUUUAGCUUGAUUCGGCAACGCUGAGGGAAUAAAUCCACCAUAAAUUCAGAGAGGGUUUGUACAACAAAAGCAAAAGACGUAAGAAUUAGCAUUCGGAUCAAAUAGGACGAUGAAACGCAACAUGAGAUAAAGGUAUUUGAAACACAAAUCAAGGUGUCGCCAGACUUGACUAGUAGACUAAACCAAUAAAUAAAUCUCAUGGAAUACAAAAGCAUACUACCUCAAUGAAUGGCAAGACUUAGCAAACUAAACUCGACACUUAACAGUAACAAGAAUGUAUGCUUUAAUAAAUAAAAUUAGAGGUCAUUCCAGCAGAUAACAAGAGAAGGUUUAUAUUACAGAGAACAUAGCCGACAAAUAGCAACAAACAGUAGUAAAUCUCAAGAAAAAUACAACAUGCUAAACCAUUUUCGCUUAGUAAUAUAUUUCAUGCAAUAACUCCAAGAUAACUCCAUUAAGAUGCCAAAUUUGUCAUGCUAAAGGGACACAGAGAAACAUGGGACGGUGCUAGCGACUCAUCUUG
RNAcentral lists this unclassified non-coding RNA (828 nucleotides) under Hevea brasiliensis (rubber tree). The record is from RNAcentral. Lineage: Eukaryota; Viridiplantae; Streptophyta; Magnoliopsida; Malpighiales; Euphorbiaceae.